Molecule: small RNA, 100 nt
Filed under: Pan troglodytes (chimpanzee)
Lineage: Eukaryota; Metazoa; Chordata; Mammalia; Primates; Hominidae
Also listed under: 1 other name
Description: processed transcript
Source: RNAcentral
CGAGUUCAUGCGAACAUUCUUCAACAGGGCAAGGCUGCAGCUCUACCGGACGCGGGACAUGGGCUGGGGCGUGCGGUCCCUGCAGGACAUCCCACUAGGC